CAAAAACGGAUGCAUCUGUGCCGCUGCCGCCGAUAGUCCCCGUGCAAACAGUCACUCUGUAUUUGAUUACUGCAGAACAGAGAAGCGUUAUUCAUUCAAGUUUUACAUUCGUCUCUAUGUUUGUCAAAGCAGAUUUUGCUUGCUCACGGUGAAUAUUACUUACAGGGCAGCGGCUCAGCGAUUAGUUCUCCGGUGGCAGACCUGAAAGGAGAUAUCUGCAUCGCUUCCUGCACCAGGCAGGUCUGACGUCCAGAUCCACAAGGACCACGGGUGCUCUGAGGAGAACCAAAGGAAAUCAUCAGGAACGUUGUCAUGUGAUCUCUCAGAUGCGCACACUGUAUGUGUUGGAGGAGCAGGGACAUCAGUCUCAGAUGAAAAGACUGAGAGGACCUAGGAGGAUCACAUGUCUUAAGUACCUCUGCAGAGGCCGAACUGAGCAGAAUGAGGUACAGUAAGACUCUAAUCUUUGUUUCAGGAUAAGAUACUGUGAGUCACACAUGCUGUAACAAAGAAAGUUACACGUUAUUUUUUAGUUAUCUAUCUAUUUCAAAUUAAUUUCUUUAAUUUCUAGCUUCCCAAAGAAACACAUCUUGAAAAUAACAACUAUAAAUAACAGUUUCUUUCUUACCUUGUCCACAAACCAUCCUGCUGAAGAGCCUUUGUUAUUAUGGCCAAUGGUGAUCUUCCUCACUUUGCCCAAGUUUGGUGCCUCAAUGGUGAACUUGUCCUCGGUGCCAUUUUCAAAGUUAUUUUUGUCAUUGUCAAGUCGCCUUUCACCUUACAUAACAAAACUAUUUGUAAAUUCUAUCAGAUGAAUCCUGAUUCAAACCCAAGUGGGUUUUAUUAACUGCAAUAAAACAGGUAUUCACUU
Molecule: long non-coding RNA, 871 nt
Organism: Micropterus salmoides (largemouth bass)
Lineage: Eukaryota; Metazoa; Chordata; Actinopteri; Centrarchiformes; Centrarchidae
Exons: 3
Source: RefSeq, a predicted model, not a curated record